GUAGAUCGUUCCCAGAAGUUGAUUACGAAACGUCUUGAGUUUUUCCAUACUGAGGAAAAUUUACUAACGAAAAAGCGACUAUACUGCCUACAAAUUGUUAUUUUUGAGAAAAGGAAUUUGUGUUUACGAAUCAAAUAAGAAAAUGAAAGCUAAAAUUUGUCAACCUCGUACUGCUGGAGCUAUGAGAGAAGGUGGUGUGAAGAAAUCACAUGCUACACACGUAAUCGAUGGUGAAAUGGCCUCUUACUUUGCCAAAUUACGAGAUCUCGUACCUACAAUACCUAACGACAAGAAGGUCAGCAAAGUACAACUCCUACAACACGUUAUUGACUAUAUUUUCGAUCUGGAAAUGACGCUCGAACUCGACUGUUCACCCUGCCUGCCUACUGAAGGACGAACGCCUUUAGGCGAAAACCCAAUGAAUUUACCAUUUCACCGGUUAACGACAACCGACAUUCAACCAUUUUAAUCAUUAUAUAUAGAGAAACGCUGGUACUAAUCAGCGUUUUUCUGGAUAUCUCAACCGUCCUUUAAUUGGUAAGUUGAAUUUUCCUAUUUAUAUUUAUACAUAAGUUUGUUUAGCAAGUAAAUGAAUAUAUUUAUAUCGACGCGACGUCACAUUGUGCAGUCAGCUAGGCAACGAAAGUCUAUGCAGCGUUAGUAAUGACCGCCGUCACCAUAGCGACGGGCGUCAAUAAAACAAUUGCUUAGCGCAUACAAGUUGGUUCUAGUCCCCGGAGAAAUCUUCUAGGCGACUAGAUAUGCGCCAAGCGAGAUUCUUCUUUGAUUGCGUCGUCUCGCGUGACUGUAAUACGCUGUAAGACGGCGCUCUUGUAGCAAAAAAGUAAAGAAGGAAAAAAAUUCGAUUACGAGUGACGACGUCAGGUUCGGCCGCGACGACCUGAUUAGAUUUGCAUUUUUUUGCACCGGGGGCUAACGCUUGCCCGUUUCACUCAUAAAAAAUCCGGUCUUAAGCACCCGUCUCAGAAAACUCCCUACUAGGGCUUUUUAUUUCCUUUUUGUUAGAAGACGUCUCGUUCCCGCACCUGUUUUAUUGAUUCGAUUAUUUAUUCUUUUGCAGCGAGCUGGUUUCGCUCUCACGGUCGUCAAUGUCGAGAAAUCCAGCCGGAUCUGGAAAACAGGCGAGUGCAAUAUAUAUGAAGUGAUCUGGAAAAAGAGAGACGUCUACCGGUUUACUUAGUACAAGAAAAAUUAUUGUAAUAUAGUUUGUUUUCAUUCUUUUAAGACAAAAUAAUAGUUUGUUUAAGAAUUAUUCAAGUGUAAAAACUAAAUUGCUUUUACGAAUAGUUGAAUACAAAAAAAUGACAUCAA
RNAcentral lists this unclassified non-coding RNA (1332 nucleotides) under Dimorphilus gyrociliatus. RNAcentral describes it as "bHLH domain-containing protein". The record is from RNAcentral. Lineage: Eukaryota; Metazoa; Annelida; Polychaeta; Dinophilidae.